AGAGUUUGAUCCUGGCUCAGGAUGAACGCUGGCGGCGUGCUUAACACAUGCAAGUCGAACGAACCUUCGGGUUAGUGGCGGACGGGUGAGUAACGCGUGAGAAUCUGCCCUCAGGAGGGGGAUAACGGCUGGAAACGGCCGCUAAUACCCCAUAUGCCGAGAGGUGAAAUGAAUUUCGCCUGAGGAUGAGCUCGCGUCUGAUUAGCUAGUUGGUGUGGUAAAGGCUCACCAAGGCAUCGAUCAGUAGCUGGUCUGAGAGGAUGAUCAGCCACACUGGGACUGAGACACGGCCCAGACUCCUACGGGAGGCAGCAGUGGGGAAUUUUCCGCAAUGGGCGCAAGCCUGACGGAGCAACGCCGCGUGAGGGAUGAAGGCCUCUGGGCUGUAAACCUCUUUUAUCAAGGAAGAAGAUCUGACGGUACUUGAUGAUAAGCCACGGCUAAUUCCGUGCCAGCAGCCGCGGUAAUACGGGAGUGGCAAGCGUUAUCCGGAAUUAUUGGGCGUAAAGCGUCCGCAGGCGGUCUUGAAAGUCUGUUGUUAAAGCGUGGAGCUCAACUCCAUUUCAGCAAUGGAAACUAGAAGACUAGAGUGUGGUAGGGGCAGAGGGAAUUCCCGUUGUAGCGGUGAAAUGCGUAGAUAUCGGGAAGAACACCAGUGGCGAAGGCGCUCUGCUGGGCCAUAACUGACGCUCAUGGACGAAAGCCAGGGGAGCGAAAGGGAUUAGAUACCCCUGUAGUCCUGGCCGUAAACGAUGAACACUAGGUGUCGGGGGAAUCGACCCCCUCGGUGUCGUAGCCAACGCGUUAAGUGUUCCGCCUGGGGAGUACGCACGCAAGUGUGAAACUCAAAGGAAUUGACGGGGGCCCGCACAAGCGGUGGAGUAUGUGGUUUAAUUCGAUGCAACGCGAAGAACCUUACCAGGGUUUGACAUCCUGCGAAUCCCUUGGAAACUUGGGAGUGCCUUCGGGAGCGCAGUGACAGGUGGUGCAUGGCUGUCGUCAGCUCGUGUCGUGAGAUGUUGGGUUAAGUCCCGCAACGAGCGCAACCCACGUUUUUAGUUGCCAGCAUUAAGUUGGGCACUCUAGAGAGACUGCCGGUGAUAAACCGGAGGAAGGUGUGGAUGACGUCAAGUCAUCAUGCCCCUUACAUCCUGGGCUACACACGUACUACAAUGCUACGGACAAAGGGCAGCAAACUCGCGAGAGCUAGCAAAUCCCAUAAACCGUGGCUCAGUUCAGAUCGUAGGCUGCAACUCGCCUACGUGAAGGAGGAAUCGCUAGUAAUCGCAGGUCAGCAUACUGCGGUGAAUACGUUCCCGGGCCUUGUACACACCGCCCGUCACACCAUGGAAGUUGGCCACGCCCGAAGUCGUUACUCCAACCCGCAAGGGAGGAGGAUGCCGAAGGUGGGGCUGAUGACUGGGGUGAAGUCGGAACAAGGUA
RNAcentral lists this ribosomal RNA (1443 nucleotides) under metagenome. Its description in RNAcentral is "bacterial SSU rRNA". It matches the Rfam family "Bacterial small subunit ribosomal RNA". The record is from RNAcentral.